GGACUACACGGGUAUCUAAUCCCGUUCGCUCCCCAUGCUGUCGUGUAUCAGCGUCAGUGUCGAGCCAGGGCACCGCCUUCGCCUCUGGGGUUCCUCCGGAUCUCUACGCAUUUCACCACUACACCCGGAAUUCCAUGCCCCUCUCUCGCACUCCAGAACGCCAGUCUGGCAUAACCCGGGCCGGUUGAGCCGACCGCUUUCAUACACCACUUGGCGUCCCGCCUGCACACCCUUUACGCCCAGUAAAUCCGGAUAACGCUUGCCACCUACGUUUUACCGCGGCGGCUGGCAC
This 292-nucleotide ribosomal RNA is filed under the name uncultured bacterium. RNAcentral's name for it is "partial 16S ribosomal RNA". The record is from RNAcentral.